UCACAGAGUACGUUUUCUUAGAUUUCAAGGUACAAUCUGUAGCUGGGGGAACUUUGACAAACACUAAAUUAAUUUAAUUGAAAUGAUGGAGAUCUGGACUUCCAAAAAAUGGGACCCUGCGCUUCUCCAGAAUGAAGACCCUGCCUUUUAGGGAAAUGAGCCCAGUGCCUCUACCUCUGCUGCUUGUAUAAUCAGAGGAGACCUGGAAGUAAAGACCCUCCACGGACAGGAGCAGUCAAGAAGGAAAAGCUCUGGGCUCAGAAUGCUCAGUGUGAAACCUGGCCCUGUUGCUCACUGGUCGUGU
This 304-nucleotide long non-coding RNA is filed under the name Ictidomys tridecemlineatus (thirteen-lined ground squirrel). Its description in RNAcentral is "lncRNA (ENSSTOG00000034753.1)". Lineage: Eukaryota; Metazoa; Chordata; Mammalia; Rodentia; Sciuridae. The record is from RNAcentral.